GUCUUUUUGAAAAUAAUUUAAAGUCAGAUNUGCUCAAUGAAAUAUUAUAAAUAGCUGCGGUAUUUUAACCGUACAAAGGUAGCAUAAUCAAUAGUUUUUUAAUUGGAAGCUGGAAUGAAUGAUUUGAUGAAAUAAAUAUUGUCUCAAAUUUAAUAAAUUUAGAAUUUUUUUUUUAGUAAAAAAACUAAAAUUUUUUUAAAAGACGAGAAGACCCUAUAGAUUUUUAUAUAAUUUAUUUUUAUAAAAAAAUAUUUUAUAUUAAGUUGGGGAAAUUUUUAAAUUAAAUAAAUUUUAAAAAUUAAAAACAAAAAUUAUUGAUUAUUUGAUCUUAAAUUUUAGAUAAAAAGAAUAAAAUACCUUAGGGAUAACAGCGUUAUUUUUUUANAUAGUUCAUAUUAAUAAAAAAGUUUG
RNAcentral lists this ribosomal RNA (411 nucleotides) under Joppa sp. Wahl01. RNAcentral's name for it is "partial 16S ribosomal RNA". The record is from RNAcentral. Lineage: Eukaryota; Metazoa; Arthropoda; Insecta; Hymenoptera; Ichneumonidae.